Molecule: non-coding RNA, 526 nt
Organism: Zootermopsis nevadensis
Lineage: Eukaryota; Metazoa; Arthropoda; Insecta; Blattodea; Termopsidae
Source: RefSeq, a predicted model, not a curated record
GCUGUAUUAAUUAUUCACUGACUUUUCGUUUCUGCGAGCCACUGUAUUUUUUAUCGGCAGUCAGGAAAAACAACACAGAAAGCGCUCGGAUUUACGCUCCGAGCGGGAUCUAAACUAUCGUUCUUUACGCUAGGGCAGUAGAAAAGUAUCUCUCAAAGAAGGCAGUGAGUGGUAACCGUGUGGUACGUUGUAACUGUAUAAAGGUUGGUUGGUUGGAAGAAACUCACAGUCACUGUGCAAGUCUGCUGCUGUUCAGCGCUGCGUGAUCCGCUUUUGUUUAAGGGAAUCUUUGUCAAGGCCGUCUGCGUCUUAAACUCGGCCGUAAAAACAUGUAACCUACAAAAGAUUAUUAUUGUGCCAGCAAGGGUGGAAGAUCAUUCUAGAUUGGUUCUUCGAAACCCUAAAAUGCACCAAUACUAUGAUAAAGGCCAGACACCUGAUUCUUUGAUGUGUUCAAGGAAGUGUUAAAUUGGAAGUUCCUCUGCGCGACCAGCAAUCACGGAAGGGGCAGAACUUACUCAUAAAG